CCUACGGGUGGCAGCAGUGAGGAAUAUUGGUCAAUGGCCGGAAGGCUGAACCAGCCAUGCCGCGUGAAGGUCAGUGCCCUAUGGGCGUUAAACUUCUUUUGUGCGGGAGCAAUAAUUGUCACGUGUGGCUAGACGAGAGUACCGUACGAAUAAGCAUCGGCUAACUCCGUGCCAGCAGACGCGGUAAUACGGGGGAUGCAAGCGUUAUCCGGAUUUAUUGGGGUUAAAGGGAGCGUAGAUGGGUUGUUAAGUCUGUUGUGAAAGUUUGCGGCUUAACCGUAAAAUUGCAAUUGAUACUGGCAGUCUUGAGUACAGGUGAGGUAGGCGGAAUUCGUGGUGUAGCGGUGAAAUGCGUAGAUAUCACGAAGAACCCCGAUUGCGAAGGCAGCUUACUAAACUGUGACUGACGUUGAGGCUCGAAAGUGUGGGUAGCAAACAGGAUUAGAUACCCUAGUAGUC
This 459-nucleotide ribosomal RNA is filed under the name uncultured bacterium. RNAcentral describes it as "partial 16S ribosomal RNA". It matches the Rfam family "Bacterial small subunit ribosomal RNA", at positions 338 to 795 of the family's 1533-position model. The record is from RNAcentral.